Molecule: ribosomal RNA, 114 nt
Filed under: Cynoglossus robustus
Lineage: Eukaryota; Metazoa; Chordata; Actinopteri; Pleuronectiformes; Cynoglossidae
Description: partial 16S rRNA
Source: RNAcentral
UGCCAAUCAACUAGUUCACCUAAUAAAAUUCAAAACCAAAAAUAACCCCUUAAAACCUAAAAUCCUUAAGCUAAAACAUUUUUUCCCCUAGUAAAGGCGAUUGAACAGGAACAC